UACAGAGGGGGCAAGCGUUGUUCGGAAUUACUGGGCGUAAAGGGCGCGUAGGCGGCCUUCUAAGUCGAACGUGAAAUCCCCGGGCUCAACCCGGGAACUGCGUCCGAUACUGGAAGGCUUGAAUCCGGGAGAGGGAUGCGGAAUUCCAGGUGUAGCGGUGAAAUGCGCAGAUAUCAGGAAGAACACCCGUGGCUAAGGCGGCUCUCUAGUACGGUACUGACGCUGAGACGCGAAAGCGUGGGGAGCGAACAGG
Molecule: ribosomal RNA, 253 nt
Filed under: uncultured bacterium
Lineage: Bacteria
Description: partial 16S ribosomal RNA
Rfam family: Bacterial small subunit ribosomal RNA
Source: RNAcentral